Xenopus laevis (African clawed frog) is the source of this 86-nucleotide non-coding RNA. Lineage: Eukaryota; Metazoa; Chordata; Amphibia; Anura; Pipidae. The record is from Rfam.
GCUGAGGUUCUGUCUGAUAUGUUUGAUAUUAGGUUGUUUUACUGAAACUCAACUAAAUAUCAUACAUAUUGCUACAGCGCCCUGGC